Molecule: long non-coding RNA, 5473 nt
Organism: Planococcus citri (citrus mealybug)
Lineage: Eukaryota; Metazoa; Arthropoda; Insecta; Hemiptera; Pseudococcidae
Exons: 7
Source: RefSeq, a predicted model, not a curated record
UGACUAUAUAGAUAUACUACGUAUAUGGACUGCUGAUUCUUAUCAAUUUAACGUUGGUUAUAUGGAGAAAUCAUGUAAGCAGAUUUUCAAAAGUCCACUCAACGAAAAACGGUGUUCGUUGCCUGAAAACGCUGCUCAUUGGCUCUCACAGUACGGAACCUUGGAUGCGCGCGUCACCUCGCGUCAUCCUCGCAUACAAUUGCACGUAAUCUUCGACUGAAACCCUGGUUUUUGUUGCGUGGACUUUUAUGUUUACAUUUUACACUUUGAUAAGGGUUAGCAGUCCAUAUACGUAGUAUAUCUAUAUAGUCAAAGAGAAAAACUAUAAUAAUUAAUAAUCGAAAUUUCAAAUUUAGAGUCAAACUGGAUUGUCUUUUUUCUUCAUGUUAUGAAUAAUUAUUUGUAAUACGGUAUUUAUGCAUUUCUUUCUCCUUAAGAAUGAGGAUGUGUAUUUUAGAAAAUUUUUCUCUAGUCUUGUCUCCGUACGGGAAGAACAAUUUGAAUGUAAAUUAGUUUACCUAACCAUGACGACUCUGUACCAGUUUUCGAUUCCAUCGUAUUUGAUCAAAGCACUCGUCUUUCUCUGGGCUGCCCGAACACCUGCUCCCAGCUGUUGGAAAAACUUUGAUACAUCACCUAAAAUGAAACGAAAAAGGAAAACUUUACGUUGGAAAAACUGAAAUAAGUUGAUCAUAUGGCUCGAUUAUAAUGUUUCGAAGAAUAUUUUGAAGAAAAGAUGACUAUUCGAACAAAUGAAUGUCCUCGGAUUCUUAUCCCUGGAUUAUUGUUAGUGAAAUCAAUUUAUAUUGAGUCCUGAUCAUCUGUUACAAGUUGACGCGAGUACUACACAUGGAAACCCUAGAAACUAUUCGAAUCCAGUGCACUUUUAGAGUAUCUACUCAACAUUGCAGAUGUUAUUAUUGUAUUAUUCAAAAACCAAGAGAAGAAGAACAAACAUUCCUACUCUAUGUGAUGAUUUACACCUCCUAUUUAAAAUUAGUUUGUUGCAUUAUGGCGCCACUUCCCGUUUUGGAAAGGUUUACGACAAUUUAUAAAAAAAUUGAAAAUCGAGUAAUCAAAAUAAACAAAUUCAAUUGAACUAGAAUAAGAACUAAGUUGAUCAAAAAUGAAGGUUGUAUGUAGUUUGCUUACUACGUAGGUAUAUUGAUGAAAAUGGCCAUCGAAGACAAGUAUAAAAUCAGUAAAUUUUAUGAAUUUAAGAAUUCAAAGUUGAUUGUUCCGUAGUUACAAUUAUUAAUCAAUUUGGUUUUUUCUGUCAGUUUCCCAAGCUGCUCCCUUUAGUGUAGUAUUUAUUCUACAUUUUGAUCGAUUAUAUCUGUGUAUGAUGUAUUAGGGUGGACCGCCAAAAAAAGUCAGCGAAUUUUGAUUAAAUUUUGCAGAGACAAGUUACAGCUACCCACAAAAAAUUUUAGCGCCGGAGGUGAUCCCGGGGGGAAGAUUUGGACUCCCAAAAAGAGGGCAUUUUCGAAAAAAUUAUGGGUUUUUCGCUCCUGUCGCUACACAGCCGGUUUUGGGAAAAAAUGGCUUAGUCCCAGAUGAAAGUAUUUGAGAUGCUGCAUCGAUUUAUGCUAUUGCCGUUAAAAUCCAAGAUCACUUUGUUGAGGGUUCUAUUGAGCGGUUGAAAAUUUGCAAAUCUCUUAUUUUUAGAUAAAUUCGCAAUUUGAAAAUUUUUUCUUGACAAAUAUUUCGCAUAAAUCAUGUCAAAUUGAGAGAUAUCAUUCCCAAAACCGGAGAAAUAUUUCGGAAUGCAAUAUAAGGCCAAUUUUUUGAUUAUUUUUAACAACUUCUGAAGUUUUUCAUUCUUUAAAAUUGGCAAACGAUCAGAAAUUUGGCAUCAUUGCGUUCUGAAAUGUUUCCCAAGUUUCAGGAACGAUAUGUUUCAAUAUUUUGACAUGGUUAAUGCGAACUAUUUGUCAAGAAAGAAUUUUCAAAACACGAAUGUACCCAAAAAUAAGCGAUUUGCAUAUUUUCACCCGCUUAGUAGAACCCUGAAACUUAAAAGUGAUCUUGGAUUUAUGAUAACGUUAUGAUUGUUAUGAAGUUAUGAUAAUCGGUAAUGCUGCUUUAAUAGUCGAUUUAUUUUAUUAAAAUAGGUACUUCAGCGUAAUGUCAGAGUUCGCUGUUUUUAAUUUUGAAAUUGUUUCAGAUGUGUUUACUAAAUGAUAUUUAAUUUUAAAUUUAUAAAUUGAAUUGAAAAAACUGAUUUUUAUUUUCUUCUAAAAUGUUUCUGUUAUCGAUUGUAAAAUACUUUGUUUCAAAACACGAAUCGUUGGUAGGUUUUUAUCCAAUCAGUUUUUACAGAUCUGAUUUUUUUUCUUCAGACGAAUGUUUAAUGGAUUGAAAAUUUUAAAAAUGAAGAUCUACGUAUAUGAUGAACCUUUGUUGUUCCUAUUUAAAUUUAAUUGAUUUUGAUUAAUUAAUCUCAAUAUUUUUUGAAGUGGCAUUAAAGUUGGUAAUGAUCGAAAACACGUUUCCGCAACGUAAGCAAAAUCAAAGAUAAGUACCUACCUACAUUUUGUUUGUUCCAUUCGCUGGGUGAUAUUUAUGGAAUGGAAUUAUAAGUGUUGGUUACCAAAGUGUCGUUAACUCAAGCCCGGCUGAAUUCUUCGGCAAGGUUUAAAAGACAUUAAGGUGGUGGAGAUAAAAUGUCUUCUUUUUUUUUUAGCAAGUAAGUGGUACGUAUUAACGAACAUAUUGUACAAAGACGAUUCUCCAAAACUCAGCGUUUUUUUAUCUUCUUUGUCCUGUUAGAAAAAAAAGUCAGAAGGAGGAAAAGAACACAUUCCAACUUGAAACAAGGGUAGGUACGUAAGCUGCGGCUAAACGACUGCAACUUUAAAUUGCUCUCACAUACAUUUUUUUUGCUAAUCAAACGACGGUGGUUACUAAACUGAAUGUUCAUUACAUGUCUCAAGUUAUUUUACAGUGUUUAAAAAUAUGUAAUACAAAACAAAAAAAAGUCAGAAUAUUUUUAAAAGUACCUACAAAUAAAUGAAUGCAUUUCAUCUCUUACAAAUGAAAAAUCCAUUAAAAUGCAGUCGAAAGAUGUGGACAGAGCUUUCCUCAAGUGAAAUAAGUAUCCAUCUUAAAUGAAAUGUUUUAAACUCUGUAUAAAUCAUGAAAAAUAUUAGAAAAUCCAUCCGCACAUCGCAUUCACUUUUUUAAUUCUUGACUAUAUCCAUAUCCGCCUACUUGACUGGAAACAUAAAAAAUACGCUUACUGUUAGCGUUUAUAGAGUUGUGUCCAAAAUCGAAAAAAUGUUUAGAAUCACUUGAGCGAACCGAAUUCAGUAGCGCAUUCAGCAGUAUUAGUAGAACUGAUAAGGAAACGCCUUCUUGAAGCAAUUGCAAUUCAAAGAUAGAAGUUUUAAAAAAACGUUUGGCGAUUGGUUUUUCACUGGUCAUAAAAAACACAAUCUAUAAAAAUCAACAGUUAACAGAGAAAAGGAGGAUCUUCGGUUUGAAAAGAUCUUUGCUCCCGAAAUCUAAAUGAUUAGAAAUCUUAACACUUUUCUGCUUUAUUUUCCUAUUUUCCCCUUCUUUUUUUACGCCAUCUCACGAUCAAGAUCGUACGUAAUACACAAUAUACUUUUACCAUUAGAAAAAAGAAAUAAGUAGGUGCCUACUAACAUUGUGUUUUCUUGUUGUAAAAUGGUAUAUGUAUUUUUUUUCAGCAGUAAUUUUCAACGAGAAAUAAAUUCAAAGACCAGUAACCAGUAUGUGUAAUUUUUAUUUUCUGUUAAAUUUUGCAAGUGGGUACCGUAGGUAUUCGGUUUACUUACUUCAAAUUGGUAUAGGUAAAUUCGCACAAGUACCAUUUGUACCUACGAUUUUGUUUUUUAAGCUGAAACUUAUAGGUACUUAUUAUAUCAUAUCAUAAUAUUGUUUUUACUUGUCUUUCUCGCCAUUCAAUUCAAUCAGGUUUGUAAGCCAAAAAUGGUAUAAAAAUAAUUAAUUAAACUCGUCUUGAAAUAUUUAAUUAGUGCGGGCGUUUAAUUAGAAUUUUUAGGAAGCUAUAAUAUUAAACGACCACUAAAGGAAAAGAAGAUUAAACUGAGAAAUUUGCGGUUUUAAGAACGAAAUACACAGUAGAAAGUAGAAAGUGGUAGAAAAUGAACGAAAACAAUUAUAAAACUGCAUGGGCGUCGCGAAGAACGAAAGGGUCGCUUGUAAUUAAGAUGGGUAUGUUAAUAUUAACUUCCUCGAAAGUGGAAUCAGUGGGAACUGGGGGUCUGAAUUUAAAGUUAUAGGGGGGCUUAGAGUGAUAUAUGACGGUGUGUGGGAAAAGAAGUAGCAGGGAGAGCGGAGAAUACCGAAUAAACCAUUUCAAUUAGUAUAAAACUCAUUUGGUUUAGAUGUUCCCCUAAUUUCCACUCUAUGCCUUUUCUAUCUCUAUCUUUUUUCCAGAUAUGAUGUCAUUUCUUCUGUUCUCUCUCGCAUAUGGAUAUUACAUUCAUUCCUAUUAUUCAUUCAGCCAUUCGUUUCUCUUUUUCUUCGUUCAUCCCUUUUUAUCGCAACCACCGUACAUUCAAUUAUUUCACCAAUAUUAAUUUACCUGGAUAAGUUAUUCUACCAGUUAGCCUACUUGAUUGUCUUGGAAUAGAAAGCUUACGUAGCAUGUUUCGUUCAGUGAAGGUCUUACUUAGUCAACACUUGACUUAUUUUAUAAGAAGGGUUGCCUAUACUUACCUUUAUAGGUACUUAGUAUAUCGAUUCGUAAAUCUAUAGAUUUGUAUCAUAUGAGGAAAAAAUUACUGUGAAUUUAAUUAAAAUGUAGGUACCUACUUGUAUAAUGCAGCCUGUAAAUGUACAGCUUCGUAGAUAUGUAGGUUGGCGGGGUUUGAGUUUUCCCUUAUUUAAUUUUUAUCUCUAUCAUAGUUUUAUAAUAAACCACAUUAAUGGCUUGAAAUGAUAAUUAAACUAACUCGACCAGGAAAUUCCCCCAGAGAUUUUAUAACGAACAGAGCUCUAAAUUUUUUCUCAGCUACUUAUCGUCCGUUUAAUUAAUUAACUGCUUCCUUUUUUUUUUGUCAUUGUAAAUCUCCUUUCUUUGAAAAAUCAAAAAUGAUUUUUAAAAAAUGACACUCAGCCGGCAAAACUUAACAGAGAAGUAAGUAGUAAAGUAAAGUAAAGAAAUGAUACUGAAAAUCUGCCAAAUUAUGGUCAGAUUAUGAUUUUUUUGCUAGGUACCUUACCUACAAGUUAUAGGCAAGAUCAAGUGCGAAGAUGAUUUAUUUAUUUUCAAAAAUAAUACGUAGGUACAUAUUUAAUCUACCUACCAAGGAACUUGAAUAUCAUGCAGGUAUAAUUUUUUGUAAAACAAUGUAAGUAAUGGCAUUUAAUUAGUCUGUCUGAGAGGGGAAAAACUCUCAAUAGCUAGGCCAAAAAAGAAAUGAAACCAAUGCAUAAGAUAAAUGGCACAUAAAUAAAAUAUAAAUCUAAUUCAAUUUCA